CUCCACUUUACUGCUACUAAUUACCAUCCAUAUCAGUACGUUCCAGGAAGCCGCCAGUCUCUGUGGUUUGUGGUUUGUAGCACACCAGCAUUCCCCUGGCCUUGAGGGAGCUCCCACAGGACGAGAAAGAUUGUUCUCUUCACUGGCCUCCUGGUGGCCGUGUUGGCUCUCCCGUCAGAUCUGUCCGGCUCCUUCGUGUCCCAGGCUCCGGCGAACUAUGAGUUCCAGUACGCUGUAAUGGACGACCCCUCCGGUAACAACUUCGGCCAGCAGGAGCACCGUGACGGAGAUUUCACUCAGGGCUCCUACCACGUGAGGCUUCCUGACGGCCGCCUCCUGAAGGUGUCCUACACUGUUUCUCGGGACUCUGGCUACGUGGCUCAAGUCACCUACGAGGGCGAAGCUCGUUAUCCAGCAAGUUGAAGCUCUCCAGUACACCCAACAAUGUGGAUCAUUCAUUACAGCAGAAAAAACAACUCAGUGGCUACUGGAAGGUCGAAACCGGACCGAAACGUUGUCAUAAGAUUCUUCUAUGUGCGGGUUGUUUAUAUAUGUUAACCACCACUCAUUAUCACAACGAAAUAAUGAAGCCAGCCAU
This is a long non-coding RNA of Cherax quadricarinatus, 598 nucleotides long. RefSeq lists it as uncharacterized. The record is from RefSeq and is a predicted model, not a curated record. NCBI's taxonomy places the organism in Eukaryota, Metazoa, Arthropoda, Malacostraca, Decapoda, Parastacidae.